Pangasianodon hypophthalmus (striped catfish) is the source of this 3640-nucleotide long non-coding RNA. RefSeq lists it as uncharacterized. The record is from RefSeq and is a predicted model, not a curated record. NCBI's taxonomy places the organism in Eukaryota, Metazoa, Chordata, Actinopteri, Siluriformes, Pangasiidae. The transcript has 6 exons.
AAUAAAUUGUUAAUAGUGUGACGAGAUAUAUAAGAAACACUUUUUGACUUUCCACUUUGUCUAAGCUUUCUUGCCAUUCAGAAAACAUAAAAUACCCAUGUAGAACCCGGUGUGUAUGGAGGCAGGUGGAAUUUCAAAGGUCCUCAGCUGAAAAGGGGCCGUCACUAGUUCACUUUCCCUCUCACUCUGGAUACGGCAGUUACUGAAAGCGCAAAGAAACACAAGCAGACUGGGGGUAAUAUAACAAAGGUGAGAAUCAUCUCGCGUUACUUGCCCGCUCAACCCGCCUCUUCUCCUUCCAUAGCUGAAGCUCGAUCACGCCCCCGCUACCCAGCACAUAAUACAUUUCUGCAAGCUGCUGAUCUACAUCCAUUCAUUUUCUGUAGGCUACCGCUUAUCCUACAUGGGGUCGCGGAGCACAAGGCAGGGGACACCCUGGACGGUGUGCUAACCCAUCGCAAGGCACAAUCGCACACACUCCGGUCAAUUUAGAGAUGCUAAUCAGCCUACAACACAUGUCUUUGGACUGGGGGAAGGAAACCCCCGAAUCGCAGGGAGAACGUGCAAGCUCUGUGCACGCAGGCGGGAAUCUAACCCCCAACCCCGGCGGUGCGCGGCAGCAGUGCUAAGCCGCCAUGCUGCCGAAGGAAGGGACUUGAGCUACACAUGAAGGGAAAAUGUUUUUAUCAAAUUCUAAAGAAACACGGCCUACCAUUUUAUGAAGACUGACUGAAAGCCAAUUUUAAUGGCUAUUUGGGAAGCAUGUUUUCAUUCAUUUAGGCUUUAACGCCUUCAGAAAGUAUUCACCACCCAGCAACUAUUUCUCUUUUUACUGCACCAUCAAAUUUAAGCACUGAAUAGAGUAUUUAUAGUCUAUUUUAAAGCUUAAUUGGUAAGUAUUUAAUGAUAAUUGUCCUUCUGCAGCAAUUACAGAUUUGAGUUAUCUAGGAUAUGUCUCUAUGAACUUUGCACAUUUUAGUUCCAUUCCUCAAUGCAAAUUUUCUCCAACUCUCCCAAGCUAGAUGGAGAAUGUUGGUGGAUAGCAAUUUUUGGUUUGUGCCAAACAUUAUGCUUUGCUUUAAGACCAAAUGGCUCAAUUCAGUCUCAUCAGACCACAAAAUCGUUUUCCAAGAUCUCUCAUAUUUUCUAAUAUGGCCUUUUUCAAAAGUGGCUUCCUUCUGGCCACUCUCCCAUAGAGGAUGGAUCUGUGAAGAAUUGAUUAUAUUGCUGAGGUCCCACAGGUUCUCUGAUUUCAGCCAGUGAGCUCUGUAACUCUUUCAGUAUUGUAGCUGGACUCUUGGACACGUCUCUAACAACUGCUUAUCUUGUAUGAGCACUCAGUCUGAUCUUAUCUUGGAUCCAGUGUACGAUAAUGUUUGGACCGCGAAACUCUCGCGACACUCACCGGCACUGAUAGGCAUCGCGAGAGUUUCCAAAAAAUAGCGCGGUUUUCCACCUUUCGUAAAAAGUGGGAGAUGAGUAAGUUACAGCGCAGCCUUGGUUCCUGGAUCAACUUCAAGUGUUUGAGCACAACACAUCCUAUCAGGCUAAAACUGGUUGAUGUACGGAGUUUUCAAUCAGGAACUACGAGCGCUGGUACAGUGAGCACUUAAGGUCCUUUGAGCUGACAUCAUCAAGCAGCUUCUCUGUGCAUCAGCUGUCAGAGCUAAAUGACACAAAAAUGGCAGCUCAAAACUUCCUACUUCAUGUCCAUACCUCCACAGACAUUGUCAGGAAGAUGACUUUGUCUUCACGGCCACCAUCUGUGGAUGAGCUAAAAACAAUGAUCAAAGAAAAGUUUAAGCUAGACUUUGAUUUUAGCUUAAUAUACUAAGAUCCAGAUUUCGAUGGGCAGCUAUGUUCCCUUGUAGAUAUUGAGGAGCUUCCACAGAAGGUUGUGCUAAAAGUUAUAAGGUCUGAGAGUGAUGCCAGUUCAGUAGCAUCAGAUGACACCAUCAUAUUGCCCCAUGCCAUUACUCCAGACAGGACUGAGAGAUGGCCUGAUGUUUUUCCAGUGCCCACUUUUUCUUAUGAGGUAGAACUCAUCCUUGGUGAGGGAUAUGUUGGUUAUGAGAGAACAGAGAAAACUCUCAAGUUAUCUAGGGGGCAAAAACAUGAUAUCCUUGAAACCCUUGCAGCCAAAAUGCACAGUUUUAAAGCAUACCCCAAUGAUAAGGAAAUUUCAAUCGUAGCAGAAGCACUUGUCACUCAGCAUUCUUGUCUAACAGAGCCAGGAUCUCGGACAGGGUGGUAUGGUUGGAAAAACAGUCUGAAGUUUAAGAUGGGGAAGUACCGUACCAAGUUAAGUCGGGCUGGAUUUCAUGAGGUGGCGGUAACUUCUGAUAAGAGAAGUAGAAACAACCCAGACAAACAAGCUCCCCACACUAACAUUAAAAGACCAAAGAGGGCAGAAGUGAAUUUCCUUCCAAACUUCCCAAGAGGUGAAAAUGCCGUGAGCCUUGAACAAUUGAGACUGCAAAUUGUAGAUGAAGUUCAGAUGAGAGAGAAAAAUCUUCCCAUGAUCACAAAGUUAAUGCAGACCACCUUUGCCCUGUGGCAGAAAGAGGUCAUCAAUGAUGACCUGCCUGUUGGUGACAUUCUUGAACACUGGCCUGCCCUUAAACUGUAGUCACAGAUCUGUUCUGAAUUUCACAGAAUCACAAACAUGAAUCUGAAGAACCACUUCUAUGCUGUGUUGGACCAACAUGCCCCCGUCUUCAGAAUUUAUUCAGGAAGAAAGCUGCUCGCACAGGGAAAGUAGCUGAAGUUCUGGAUCAGCUGUUCAGGAUUUAUGACCUCCAGGAACAAGUUGAUGUUCAUGUGAGGGAUCAUUCUGGGGGAUUUUCUCCAAAGACGAAGCAUACAACUAGCCAUACUGACCAGCCUGUAAGUGGUACAGUAAGUCAAAUGUCUGACACCGCACUAAUUAUUUAAAUAAACAUGAUAAUUUGGCAAAAAGAACAACAGAUUUACUAUUGCUAGUGUAUCUGAGUUUUUCCUCUAAUUUAUUCACAUACAAUAAUUUAUUAAUGGAUUAUUAUUUAUCAGUCAAUGUAUAAUUUACUGCUUAUAUUUAGCUAUGUUGCAGUUACCACCUCCCGUCCUCACUCCACCCGCAAUAUCAGUCUGUUUGUUAGCAAAUAAUUUGCCUACACAAGACCACACAUCUUAAAUCGCAGCACAAAUCUUUUAUUAUUAAUUUAAUUUUUCUGUGGUCACAUCAGUAAAAAAAAAAAAAAAAAGCUCUAGCGAAUUCCACGGAGCGACCUAAUAAAAGUGGGGUUUAUUAGAGAUAGCCUCAUUUGACUUAGCGAAACUGGUCAGUCCAGGCUCAGUGAGUUCCAUCAACUAAGUUCAGGCGCAAUUUAUUUCCGAUAAUUCAAGCCGGAAUUGGCCAAUCGAUGCUCAUGCACGUGCACACGACAUACACGUAGCCCUAUCAGUCGAGUGAAGAUAUUGCGAUAUGGCAGUAAUGGCAGUAAUGAGAGAUACAUUACACUUAUUUUCAUAUGAAAUGGUCUCAAAUGCCAAGCUCAGAGGGCCAAUAUUUAAAAAAGUUCUACAGUAAAUUUCUACAAAUAUCUUCAUAUUGAGGAAUUAUUGUGGAAUUGUCAGAUUUUUUUUUUUUUUUUUUUUUUUU